Molecule: long non-coding RNA, 2885 nt
Organism: Ictalurus furcatus (blue catfish)
Lineage: Eukaryota; Metazoa; Chordata; Actinopteri; Siluriformes; Ictaluridae
Exons: 5
Source: RefSeq, a predicted model, not a curated record
UUAUGCCCCCUAAUAUGCCCCUUUAUGUAUAGUAUGUUUGAGUUCUUUUCAUGGUAUGUAUCACUCAGAUCUGUACUUGUUAUCUAAAUGUAAUUAUAAAAAACAGAAAAUAGAAAGUGUCGAAACAUCUGGAACGUUCCUUCACACCUUCACUAUGAAAACUGGUUUUAAUUUCCCAAAUAAAGUGGGAUGAAGUAUAAUGUUGUUUUUUAAAUUAAAUUUUUUAAAUUUAAGUCUUAACAAUUUUUUUUAAUCAUGGAAACCUUAUCAUUAAUGAACAACGAAAAAUUAUGUUUAAUAUAUUCGGACGAGGGGGGCAGGGUGGAUUAGAGGUUUGCCUCGCACCUCCGGGUUGGGUUUUUUUAUCCCGCAUCUGCCCUGUGUGUGCAGAGUUUAUAUGUUCUUCCCGUGAUUUUGGGGUUUCCUCCCCCAGUCCAAGGACAUGCAGUGGUGGCUGAUUGUCCAUAGUGUAUGUGUGUGUGUGUGUGUAGUCAGAAUUAUGGAACCCAAAAAGAGGAAAAUGCCUCUAGUCUCUCCUCUCGCUCUUUCUUUCUGUACACAGAGAACACAUGGUUUGUGCUUGGUGCAAAACUUCCAACUGUCUCAGGAAAAUAUAUAUUACUGUAUUAUAAUGUACUGGUGGCAGAGAUGAAAUGGGGGGUUGAAAUGUGUAUGGUGUGGGUGGUGCAUGUGAAGAGCAGGAUCUGUUCCUUUCAGUGUCCUGAGUGUCACAGAUCAUGUUCAUUAUGUUCCUUUUCAGUCUUAUGAGGUAUGCGGGGUCUUGAAUUUGCCUCAGUUCCGAUGCAAACUGGUUCCCAAAUGUUGCGAAGGCAUCUGGAGUUGGGUCUGCAUCUACUUUUGCAGCCAUCUGUUUUAAGAAAUUGUAGCUUCUGCUGCUUGAUGUCAGUUUCUGGCCUCUCCCUGCGUUUAACUCGCCUGGUGCUCAGUUGAGGAAGGUCCUUCUUCUGACGAGUCAUGGGGGGAGGCAGUACAUGACGAGCUAGCUAGCAGCUGAUGGUGUGUCGGGUCUGUGAAGUGAUUGUGAUGAAACAUUCUGGUCCUCUGUGUCAUUCUGCUCGCUGAAUCACACACCAAGCUGGGAGAUGAAACAGAAAUUGCGUCAAGGGUUUGCUGCCAGUCUCACUAGGUUUUGGUUUCAUCAGUCGUGAAAGCUGCGUUCGCAGGGAUACUGCCCCGGUCUUCACGUCUUCAACUGAAGGAGAAAAACAAGAAAGAUUGUUGUCAGUUGUUAUGCAUGUAUUAAGCAAGUAUUGAGCAGUUGACGUGUAGGCUGCUUUAAACCCCAAAAGUACAAAACCUGAACAGGGAAAAGUGUACGGAACAUUAUUACCCUACAUUAGCUCCUACUUUAUCAACAUAUUUUGCUGACCUGGCUGUUGAAGAGCAUUUGCGAUUUCUGUCCACGUCUUCUCUUUCUCAGACUGGGUGUGGUACAUCAUACAGGCAUUCGUGCUCCUGCCAAAGUUCAAUUAAACGUUGCUCCAUGACUUGUGUCCACACUUUUCUUGCUGUGUCUUCUUCGUCGUCAUCUUCUUCUUUUAAUGUUAAAAAGUUGUACAGUUCUUCCCUUUAUGCUUCUGCCAUAGGUUUCAUGGUUUCCCUUCCUCACAGUGACCUCACCCCAUGUCUUGCUCUCUCAUUGGCUGUAGCUCGUCGCCGCAAGCACUGGCAGUGACGACACUUUUCACACCACAGGAUAUGGAGCCCCCCGACAGCUCCAGAUAUUUAGCAUGUGAAAUAUGUCUGGCGUCGGUGAUGCCUCAGUGAUGUGUCUCUCAUUGUUGAGUAGUUCACAUAUAAACAUCGACUGCCGAUUGCGACUUGCAAAUUGAGCUUAAAAUCGUGUAGUGUGAAAAUCGUCUAGGCUUUAGUCUGUCACAGACACAGUCACAUGACCAAAAUGGAUCGAAGAGGGAAGCGUUCUGGGACACAGAACAGAAAAAGAAAAAGGGAAAAUGAAAAACUAAAAUGAGGACAGCAAUGUCCAAGUGGAUAAACAAAGAUUUGUAAACUGGGCCAGAUUAUCCAAUGGGCAUUAUAGGCACGGGUCCAGGGGCCCAUGUGCACUUGGGGCUCAAGCGAAGGGAAGAAAAUUUUUUCUUUUCUUUUCUUUUCUUAUUUUUACAUUGCUGAAAAUGGAGUGCGAUGUCUGGUUGGGCCACACAAGAUUAAAAAAGAGGCCCACAACUUCAAUUCUACAGUGGCAUAGGCUGUAGGGAGUGUAGCUCCUGAAAGUAGCUUUUGACGCAGCCCCUGAAGAGCCGAGGAGAAAAGAUACUUUCAGGUUUUUAGUCAAGUUGACCUAUGCUGAGGAGAGGAGAGGAGGAGAGUAGAGAAAUAUUGGGAAAGGAGGAGAGAGACAGACAAAGAGAGGUAGCCCCUGGAGAGCCGAGGAGAAGAGGACCAAAAGAGCAUCUGGAGACAGGAGAGGAGGAGAGAGACAGACAGAUAGAGAGCCCCUGAGAGACAGAGCUGAGGAGGACAGAGACAGACAGGAAGGAAACAUUAACAGAAAAGGUGUUGUUCCCUUGUCAUGCAGUGUCAUUGACCAGUGCUGGACCAGGCUAGCCAGGAGAUCUGUAAGCAGGUGUAGCAGGAGAGAGUGAGCAUGUGUUUGUUAGAAGGGAGACUCCAGCAGUGCUCAGAUGAAGUUAUAUCCACUGAAGUAUCCGUGCUGCUGUUUCCUUAGGCAGCAUCUCCAAAAUGUUCUUUAUUCCACAUGGUGUAGAGUAGCAGUGUACCUGCAGGGCCUCAUAUGUUAUGGUCUUCAUUUCCGUGUGGAUCACUGGCAUUUCCUCUGCCGCCAGCCUCUCCGUCUCACCUGACAAUGCACUGCUAAAGGUUAUGACCUCUGUCUGGAGCAC